RNAcentral lists this ribosomal RNA (234 nucleotides) under uncultured bacterium. Its description in RNAcentral is "partial 16S ribosomal RNA". It matches the Rfam family "Bacterial small subunit ribosomal RNA", at positions 524 to 757 of the family's 1533-position model. The record is from RNAcentral.
UACGUAGGGUGCAAGCGUUAAUCGGAAUUACUGGGCGUAAAGCGUGCGCAGGCGGUUAUGUAAGACAGAUGUGAAAUGCCCGGGCUCAACCUGGGAACUGCAUUUGUGACUGCAUGGCUAGAGUUUGGCAGAGGGGGGUAGAAUUCCACGUGUAGCAGUGAAAUGCGUAGAUAUGUGGAGGAAUACCGAUGGCGAAGGCAGCCCCCUGGGUCAAGACUGACGCUCAUGCACGAA